CCUACGGGAGGCAGCAGUGAGGAAUAUUGGUCAAUGGGCGGAAGCCUGAACCAGCCAAGUAGCGUGCGGGAUGAAGGCCCUACGGGUCGUAAACCGCUUUUGCACGGGGAUAACACCCUCCACGUGUGGCGGUCUGCGGGUACCGUGCGAAUAAGGGCCGGCUAAUUCCGUGCCAGCAGCCGCGGUAAUACGGAGGGCGCGAGCGUUAUCCGGAUUCAUUGGGCUUAAAGGGAGCGUAGGCGGGCGUUCAAGUCAGCUGUAAAAUCGCGGGGCUCAACCGCGCCCCGCAGUUGAAACUGGACGCCUUGAGUUGACGACAGGCAGGCGGAAUGCGUGGUGUAGCGGUGAAAUGCAUAGAUAUCACGAGGAACCCCGAUUGCGAAGGCAGCCUGCCGGGGUGCGACUGACGCUGAGGCUCGAAGGUGCGGGUAUCAAACAGGAUUAGAUACCCCGGUAGUC
This 459-nucleotide ribosomal RNA is filed under the name uncultured bacterium. RNAcentral's name for it is "partial 16S ribosomal RNA". It matches the Rfam family "Bacterial small subunit ribosomal RNA", at positions 338 to 795 of the family's 1533-position model. The record is from RNAcentral.